Molecule: ribosomal RNA, 503 nt
Filed under: uncultured bacterium
Lineage: Bacteria
Description: bacterial SSU rRNA
Rfam family: Bacterial small subunit ribosomal RNA
Source: RNAcentral
AGAGUUUGAUCCUGGCUCAGAGUGAACGCUGGCGGCGUGCUUAACACAUGCAAGUCGUACGAGAACGCUCUAGCUUGCUAGAGCAAGUAAAGUGGCGCACGGUGUGAGUAACGCGUGGGUAAUCUACCUUCGAAUUGGGGAUAACGUUGCGAAAGCGACGCUAAUACCGAAUAACAUCCAUUUAUCUUCGGAUUUUUGGAUCAAGGGGGGCCUCUACAUGUAAGCUAUUGUUUGGAGAUGAGCCCGCGUACCAUUAGCUUGUUGGUGGGGUAACGGCCUACCAAGGCAACGAUGGUGAGCUGGUCUAAGAGGAUGAUCACCCACACUGGAACUGACACACGGUCCAGACUCCUACAGGAGGCAUCAGUGAGGAAUUUUGCACAAAGGGGGAAAACCUGACGGACCACCUCCGCGUGAGUGAUGAACGCCUUCGGGUCGUAAAGCUCUGUCCAGUGGGAAGAACCUAUGCAGUGUUAACGUCUCUGGGUACUGACGGUACCACU